RNAcentral lists this long non-coding RNA (245 nucleotides) under Zosterops lateralis melanops. RNAcentral describes it as "lncRNA (ENSZLMG00000002976.1)". The record is from RNAcentral. Lineage: Eukaryota; Metazoa; Chordata; Aves; Passeriformes; Zosteropidae.
AAGCAGUGAAAGCAGACUUUCCUUUCCUGUAGUCAACUUUUGCUGCCUAACUUUUAAAACUACAGCUGGUUUGGUGGUAGGGGAAGAAUCUCAUGCGGUGCAUUAGUGCUGAAAUGUAUAAUAAACUUUUUCAAGGAGGAUUCUAGAACAUACCUGUGGAGCUGCAGCUUCUCUUUCUCCAAGCUCUGCCAAAGGAGGUGAUACAAUCAAGCCCCCAUGAAAACCAUGCCAAGAGCAGAGUGGAA